GACGAACGCUGGCGGCGUGCUUAACACAUGCAAGUCGAACGGAAAGGCCCUGCUUGCAGGGUACUCGAGUGGCGAACGGGUGAGUAACACGUGGGUGAUCUGCCCUGCACUUCGGGAUAAGCUUGGGAAACUGGGUCUAAUACCGGAUAGGAACCAUCUUUAGUGUGGUGGUUGGAAAGUUUUUUCGGUGUAGGAUGAGCUCGCGGCCUAUCAGCUUGUUGGUGGGGUAAUGGCCUACCAAGGCGGCGACGGGUAGCCGGCCUGGGAGGGUGUACGGCCACAUUGGGACUGAGAGACGGCCCAGACUCCUACGGGAGGCAGCAGGGGGGAAUAUUGCACAAUGGGCGCAAGCCGGAUGCAGAGACGCCGCGUGGGGGAUGAAUGGCUUCGGGUUGUAAACUCCUUUCGCUAGGGACGAAGCUUUUUGUGACGGUACCUAGAUAAGAAGCACCGGCUAACUACGUG
This 465-nucleotide ribosomal RNA is filed under the name uncultured bacterium. Its description in RNAcentral is "partial 16S ribosomal RNA". It matches the Rfam family "Bacterial small subunit ribosomal RNA", at positions 28 to 507 of the family's 1533-position model. The record is from RNAcentral.